AUUAGAUAAAAAACCAAUGCCCUUCGGGGCUUUCUGGUGAUUCAUAAUAACUAAACGAAUCGCAUGGCCUUGAGCCGGCGAUGGUUCAUUCAAAUUUCUGCCCUAUCAACUUUCGAUUGUAGGAUAGAGGCCUACAAUGGUUUCAACGGGUAACGGAGAAUUAGGGUUCGGUUCCGGAGAGGGAGCCUGAGAAACGGCUACCACAUCCAAGGAAGGCAGCAGGCGCGCAAAUUACCCAAUCCCGACACGGGGAGGUAGUGACAAUAAAUACUGAUACAGGGCUCUUUUGGGUCUUGUAAUUGGAAUGAGUACAAUUUAAAUCCCUUAACGAGGAACAAUUGGAGGGCAAGUCUGGUGCCAGCAGCCGCGUAAUUCCAGCUCCAAUAGCGUAUAUUAAAGUUGUUGCAGUUAAAAAGCUCGUAGUUGAACCUUGGGUCUGGCUGGCCGGUCCGCCUCACCGCGUGCACUGGUCCGGCCGGACCUUUCCUCUUGGGGAUCCGCAUGCCCUUUACUGGG
This 516-nucleotide ribosomal RNA is filed under the name uncultured fungus. Its description in RNAcentral is "SSU rRNA". It matches the Rfam family "Eukaryotic small subunit ribosomal RNA", at positions 209 to 726 of the family's 1831-position model. Lineage: Eukaryota; Fungi. The record is from RNAcentral.